RNAcentral lists this ribosomal RNA (389 nucleotides) under uncultured bacterium. Its description in RNAcentral is "bacterial SSU rRNA". It matches the Rfam family "Bacterial small subunit ribosomal RNA", at positions 107 to 507 of the family's 1533-position model. The record is from RNAcentral.
UGAGUAACGCGUGGGCAAUCUGCCUCUUACAGGGGGAUAACACAGGGAAACCUGUGCUAAUACCGCAUAAAACUGCACCGUGGCAUCACGGAGUAGCCAAAGGAGCAAUCCGGUAAGAGAGGAGCCCGCGUCUGAUUAGCUAGUUGGUGAGGUUAAACGGCCCACCAAGGCGACGAUCAGUAGCCGGACUGAGAGGUUGACCGGCCACAUUGGGACUGAGAUACGGCCCAGACUCCUACGGGAGGCAGCAGUGGGGAAUAUUGGGCAAUGGGCGCAAGCCUGACCCAGCAACGCCGCGUGAAGGAAGAAGGCUUUCGGGUUGUAAACUUCUUUUGUCAAGGGAAGAGUAGAAGACUGUACUCGGCGAAUAAGCCACGGCUAACUACGUG